UCUGUCUCUCUCUUUCUCCUCAGAUCUCCAGGCUCAAAGCGUCAGUCCACCAGCUGAAUACUCAGUCAGACUGGUGAAUGGGACCACUUCCUGUUCUGGGACAGUGGAAGUCUUCUAUGAAGGAGAGUGGACAGGUCUAUGUUUUAGUUGGUUGUGGGACAUGAUGGGAGAGACGUGGUUGUGGGACAUGAGACAGGUUAAGGUUGUGUGUAGAGAGCUGAAUUGUGGGAAUCCUGUAUCUGAAUCUAGAGGACCUCUGAUUGAAGAUGGAAGAGGAGUCAGACUAUUUGGAGGAGUAACGAUGUUGAGAUGUAGUGGAGAUGAGUCUUCUAUUAGGCAGUGUGGCAUCAGAGGAGGACCUGGUUUCUGUGAUGGUGAAUAUUAUCAUCAUGUGACCUGUUCAGAGUCUGUGCGGCUUGUGGAUGGAGCUGGUCUCUGCUCUGGGAGAGUGGAG
Long non-coding RNA from Oncorhynchus kisutch (coho salmon), 454 nucleotides. RefSeq lists it as uncharacterized. The transcript is spliced from 3 exons. Lineage: Eukaryota; Metazoa; Chordata; Actinopteri; Salmoniformes; Salmonidae. The record is from RefSeq and is a predicted model, not a curated record.